AUGUGCAGCGGUGCUCAGAGCACAACCUGCCUCUUGCCUCAGGACCUGGCACUGCAGGCGGUGGGUGAGCCAAGUACACAGUGCCCUGCACUUGUUGGAGGUCCUGGCAUGGAGCUGCCCGCUCAUGAAUUUCUGGAUGUUCCAGUGAUGCCUCAGCGUGCCUCCCCAGGUGCAGCUGCACCUCGGGAAGGUGAGUGCCCUGCACGUCCCAUCACCCAGCUCCAUGCAGGUGUCCUGGACGCCUUCACGUGUUUCUACAAUGGAGCCUGAAUCCCAUGUUAAGGCACCUGUAUCACUUCUGGGCAAAAUCAGCAGAGGCUGACGGGAUAUAUUUCAUUAAAACUACUUUUCACGGAAAAUGGUGUUUCUAAGUGAGCUCUUGGUUUGCUUGUUUUUUGCAUCUUGCACUGGGUACUUUCAGAGGGAAAGGUCAACUUCAGAGGAAGGUGGAUUGCCACAAGAUGGAAAUAUUUGUUGGAAACAAAAAGUCUUUCAGUAUUUGAAUUGUCACUGUAAAUGGACAGAUUUCUGUUGGCUAAGAGAAACAGACAAUUUUCAAACUGCUCUGUAAUGUGUCCUUCCCAGCAGUGUCAAUGCCAGCAGUGAUUGCUGUCCAACGCAGCUAUGUCUGAGAGUGGUUGCAAUACAAACAUUCGUCAGCACUGACCCAGAUAACCUGUGCUGUUGAACAAAUUACACAGGAUAACAUCAUUAUCUCCUUAUUCUGAGGCCUAAAAGUUACAUGCCUAUAUGAAGUUUGGCAUAAUUCUGUGAUUCUAUGAUAAUUUCCAUUCGACAGCAACAGGUGAAGGGAAAAAGCAGCCUUCUCCAGGAGAUACUUUUUUUUAACUUAAAAUAGAUACACCAAAUGAGCAAGAAGAGUCACUCAGUAUGUGCUAUUUCUCUCUACCAGCCGCAGAGGAACCUACUUAAGGUCCCGUAAGUCCACAAGGGUAGACCAGUUCUCUUUUUUGUACAGUGAAUAGCAAAAUAGGGGUGUAUGCUAUUGCCAUAUCUUGAAAUAAGUUAAAAUGAGUUGUUGCCACUUUUUUUUUUUUUUUUUUUUUUUGUAGACAUAAAUGCAAGGUCUGUAUCUCUACAAAUCUAAUGCAGAUUGA
RNAcentral lists this long non-coding RNA (1118 nucleotides) under Anas platyrhynchos platyrhynchos (common mallard). RNAcentral's name for it is "lncRNA (ENSAPLG00000026640.1)". Lineage: Eukaryota; Metazoa; Chordata; Aves; Anseriformes; Anatidae. The record is from RNAcentral.